CCCCCUGUCUUCCUCCUGCCCUCGGGGUGCGGGAAACCGCCCAGGAUUUCGGAUCUGGGGAAGAGCUCCUACACACAGGUCCUCCCCACUCAGCUUUACUCUGGUCCCACCAGGAGAGGUGUCUGAGGUCGUCCAGGAUUCUGCGAAGUCCUCACUCUGGGUUGGCGACAGAACCAGAACUAGAUGGAGGCAUCACUCAUCCUGUGACCUUGAACUGUCCUCAGCCAAGCUCUUUAGUCUGGCUGGCCUGGAACUCCCAAUGUGUGCCUUUGAUCACACAGAGACCCUCUUGCCUCUGCCAUGCGGCCCACUGUGCCUGGAUCCACUUUUUUAAAAUUGUUUUUAAAGACUGUCCCUUUGAGAACCUGGAGCCCAGAUUUGGCUAAACUCGGCAGCCAGCAAACCUCACAUUUCUCUGAGUCCCACCACUCCAAUCCCCCCACCCCGCUAAUGCUGGUUUCAGGAGCUUGUCAUGGCACCAGGCAGGUAUCAUGGUGACUCAAACUCAAGUCCUGUGUGCUCAGCAAACACUGCAUCUGCAGAGCGACCGACACCCAGCACCCGGUACAGUUUCUGGCAAAUGGUGCCUCCUGCAGGCCAGUUUCUGAAACUACAGUCAACGAGGCUAUCCAAGGAGCUGUCCCAGAAGGGCCCAGAAGAGGGUUGCAUGAUCUCAGAGCUUCUUCAGAGGGGAUGAAGAACAAAGACGAACAUCCACCACAGGUGGAUACAAGGGUAUGGACUCACCAUGC
This is a long non-coding RNA of Mus musculus (house mouse), 752 nucleotides long. RefSeq annotates it as predicted gene, 30408. Lineage: Eukaryota; Metazoa; Chordata; Mammalia; Rodentia; Muridae. The record is from RefSeq and is a predicted model, not a curated record. The transcript has 3 exons.